This 91-nucleotide transfer-messenger RNA is filed under the name Candidatus Omnitrophota bacterium. RNAcentral describes it as "partial transfer-messenger RNA". It matches the Rfam family "transfer-messenger RNA", at positions 282 to 374 of the family's 374-position model. Rfam says of the family: Bacterial tmRNA, also known as 10Sa RNA or SsrA, is named for its dual tRNA and mRNA-like properties. Its role is to liberate the mRNA from a stalled ribosome. To accomplish this part of the tmRNA is used as a reading frame that ends in a translation stop signal. Lineage: Bacteria; Pseudomonadati; Candidatus Omnitrophota. The record is from RNAcentral.
UCCGGCGGGGAGAUUAAAGAGCAGAAUAAACAUGUAGAGGCUUUUGAUCUGAUAUUUAGGCACGCGGGUUCGAAUCCCGCCACCUCCACCA